Long non-coding RNA from Mesocricetus auratus (golden hamster), 2792 nucleotides. RefSeq lists it as uncharacterized. The record is from RefSeq and is a predicted model, not a curated record. Lineage: Eukaryota; Metazoa; Chordata; Mammalia; Rodentia; Cricetidae. The transcript is spliced from 3 exons.
GCCAUGACAGACUGUACCCUCAAACCUGAGCCGAAUAAGCCCUUCCUUCUCUGAGUUGCUUUUGUCAAGCAUUUUGUUACCGCCAUGACAAAAGUAACUAAGACAUGCCCAGACUCAGCCGCACACCUGUCCUCUGCUGCCAUCCAACCUGCAUUUUCAAGCUGUUUACUUAGUGACUGGUGUCCUAGGUACACCAGGCAGCUCACACCUGUCACUGUCUGCUAACUGGAGCCCAAUCUCAGGCCUAGGGCCUGCUGUGGUCAGUGACUCUGAGAUGUGCAAGAAUCAGACACACACUUUUCAUUUGCUCAGCUGUGACAGUUUGUCUCAGCUCUGUCAUGUGAGUUUCUGCAAGUGCUGCCUUAUCCUGAUACUAGGACUAUGGCUAUGUGGGAGACCAAACGGACCUGUGUCCUACCUGCUGAACUGCUCAUCUUCCUGAGCGCCUACCACAGAAGUGCUCCUAACACACAUUGAGGGGCCAUGUAUUAGCCUACCAGCCCUGACCUCUGCAAGAGAAGCAGUGUCCUAAUGGUGACCUGGCCCAGAUGUAGCUGCUGCUGUGUGAGGUCUCUGCCCCUGCUGCUCUCGCCUGUCUCUGACUGGGCUGUGUACUUAAACCUUCGGCCUGUUUCACCACCAGUCCAGUUUCCUGCUGGAAUAUGGAAUGAAACCUCUCUCUGAUACCUACUCUCGCAGUUCACUGGAGCCCUGCUCCUUAUCUGGCCACUUCUUCCUCCAGAGGACUAGACACUGAUUCCUGUAUAACCAGAUUGGGCCCCCGUUUCCAGGCUCUGAUCCACUUGCCCUCAUAUAUCCUGAAGGGCACACACUUAGAGACACUGGGCUACGUGUGAUCCUGAGGACCCUGCCUGUGUAUGGACCAGCCCUGACCUCAGUUUCCCUACUUCAAUCCUGCAUAUUUCUACCAUCUCCUCGAUUCUUGUCAACUACUGUCCUGAAGUCCUGACACACUACAAUGGUUCAAGCCUGGUGGGGUCUCCAUGGGUAGCUCACUGCCUCCUUUAGCCCCAUUCACUUACAAAGUUAAUUGUCUUAGGGAGUUGGGGCUCCCUGGCAUACUUCCCUGACAGUGCCUGCAGGAUGAAGCACCUGCUUCUCGGCUAAUGAGCACCCUGUGAGCAGCUACAUCAAGAUGGCCUGGACCACUUUGUUUAGAGACUAGCCAAGGUGACCAGUUUUGGAUAAACAAAGCGGGCAGGAUUCAGAAAAGGACUCGCCUCCUCUAGUCAGCUGCCCGGCCAUCUGUCAGAGAGGGAAUUCUUGGAACUGGAGCAUGGAGCUAAGUGUAGGAGUGAUGGGAAAAGCUGCUUCCUGCCCACAGGUAAGGGGGCCUGAUGCUGGCAGCUGGAAGUCAAGCUGCCCCUGAAAAAGGUCCCAGGAAAACCGUCCAAGGUUGGAGUAGCUGGAAAGCGCUCUCUGUCCCUCUUGGCCUGGAGCCUAUCUUGCUCAGCAGGUAGAAAAGGCAAAUUCUGUUCCCGAAAAUCAUGAAAUUUGGGGCACCCCUGAUGAGCCAGGCUCCUCUCUUGCUAUCCCAAUGAUUCCAAAAAAGGGCUCCAAGCUAAAUUAAUGAAACAACUUCUACUUGCUGAGGUUUGAGUGCAGCCCCCAAAGUUCUCAUAAGAAAUUUAAUCCCCACUGCAUCUGUGCUGAGAGGUAACAACUCUAAGAGGCAAUUAGGUCACAGGGCUCUGCAAUCUCCUGUAGAUUAAUGAUGAGAUUAAUGCUCUGGUAAUCACUCACCUCAAGACUAGGAUACAAAAUUGGGGAAGAAGAGGUUGGGGUAUAAUAGCCCUUCUGAUACCUGGAAGUCCCGCCACUAGCCCCACCUAUUAAAGUUUCUUUCACUUUCUUGCAGCUCAGACAGGAACCUUCCAAAGACAUUUGAAACCUAAGCCAUAGCAAUCAGUGCCCCACAGCCCUCCCUCUGUAUCAAGCUGUGGCUACUUCGUCUUGAACUUCAGAACCUAUAGAACAUUGAAUCCCCCCCCCAAAAUCAAUGCUCUGUAAGUUACUCUGACUCAAGUAUUUUAUCACUGCGUCCAGAGCUAAGUGAAAAACAUUAUUGACAUGAAACCUUCGGAAUAUAGAAGGUUCUUGAAAGGCUGCUCCAAGCCUUUUGUGACAUCAGGGACUGUGUACUCAGAAAAAAAAGUUGGCUCUUAUCAGCACUGCAGCCACCACCCUUUCCUGCAUAGUUAGUGUUCCGAGCUCCUGGAGGGUGAACAGCUAGCUCUCUUGUUUGAUGAGCUGGAGGCUGUGCUGAGGGAAAUACACAGGCUGCAGAGGCUGGUACAAGUGAUGGGGGCUGAGGUCCCACUGGCAUCUCUGUAAACUGAGCAGAAGCCCAUAGGCACCCGAUGCUGAGAGACUAUGCUCAACACAACAGCAGGCUGGAAGAAGCCACCCACCCCAAUGCCUGGUUCAAUACGAUCUGAGAGACCAACUGAAAUGCCUCCUCUUCUGUAAAGCCUUUACUUACUCUCAGGAUGAGUUAGCUAUUGAGAGUACCCUCUGCUGUGUAUACUUGAUCAUGCUAUUGCUCUCCACAAUUGGAAUAGAGCUGUCACAUCUGUUCUCCGUUCAGCUUGGAAAUCCCUGAGAUCAGUAACUGUGUCUCUUCAAUGCUUAUACCCUCUGUGUCUUCUGAGCUUAGGACAACACCUAGAGCAAAUUUUCUCAAUAAAAUUUUUCUGACUUUCUUUUUCUACCAAAUGAUAAGCAACCUGGGUUUUCUUCUCUACUAAUUUAAAGAUUCAUUUGUGUGUGUG